AUACGGAGGAUCCGAGCGUUAUCCGGAUUUAUUGGGUUUAAAGGGAGCGUAGGCGGACGCUUAAGUCAGUUGUGAAAGUUUGCGGCUCAACCGUAAAAUUGCAGUUGAUACUGGGUGUCUUGAGUACAGUAGAGGCAGGCGGAAUUCGGGGUGUAGCGGUGAAAUGCUUAGAUAUCACGAAGAACUCCGAUUGCGAAGGCAGCCUGCUGGACUGUAACUGACGCUGAUGCUCGAAAGUGUGGGUAUCAAACAGGAUUAGAUACCCUGGUAGUCCACACAGUAAACGAUGAAUACUCGCUGUUUGCGAUAUACAGUAAGCGGCCAAGCGAAAGCGUUAAGUAUUCCACCUGGGGAGUACGCCGGCAACGGUGAAACUCAAAGGAAUUGACGGGG
RNAcentral lists this ribosomal RNA (393 nucleotides) under uncultured bacterium. RNAcentral's name for it is "partial 16S ribosomal RNA". It matches the Rfam family "Bacterial small subunit ribosomal RNA", at positions 523 to 918 of the family's 1533-position model. The record is from RNAcentral.